GGGAUGGGCGGCAGCCUACACAUGCAGUCGAGCGGCAGCGGAGAGUAGCUUGCUACUUUGCCGGCGAGCGGCGGACGGGUGAGUAAUGUCUGGGAAACUGCCUGAUGGAGGGGGAUAACUACUGGAAACGGUAGCUAAUACCGCAUAACGUCGCAAGACCAAAGAGGGGGACCUUCGGGCCUCUUGCCAUCAGAUGUGCCCAGAUGGGAUUAGCUAGUAGGUGGGGUAACGGCUCACCUAGGCGACGAUCCCUAGCUGGUCUGAGAGGAUGACCAGCCACACUGGAACUGAGACACGGUCCAGACUCCUACGGGAGGCAGCAGUGGGGAAUAUUGCACAAUGGGCGCAAGCCUGAUGCAGCCAUGCCGCGUGUAUGAAGAAGGCCUUCGGGUUGUAAAG
This 399-nucleotide ribosomal RNA is filed under the name Enterobacter sp. PD-P48. RNAcentral's name for it is "bacterial SSU rRNA". It matches the Rfam family "Bacterial small subunit ribosomal RNA", at positions 38 to 430 of the family's 1533-position model. Lineage: Bacteria; Pseudomonadati; Pseudomonadota; Gammaproteobacteria; Enterobacterales; Enterobacteriaceae. The record is from RNAcentral.